This 100-nucleotide signal recognition particle RNA is filed under the name Nitrospira sp. RNAcentral's name for it is "signal recognition particle sRNA small type". It matches the Rfam family "Bacterial small signal recognition particle RNA". From Rfam's summary of the family: The signal recognition particle (SRP) is a universally conserved ribonucleoprotein involved in the co-translational targeting of proteins to membranes. Archaeal SRP consists of a 7S RNA and homologues of the eukaryotic SRP19 and SRP54 proteins. Lineage: Bacteria; Pseudomonadati; Nitrospirota; Nitrospiria; Nitrospirales; Nitrospiraceae. RNAcentral also lists the same sequence under 1 other name. The record is from RNAcentral.
GGCUGGGCCCUGUGCAUCAGAAUCCUGUGAACUCCGCCAGGUCCGGAAGGAAGCAACGGUAAGCGGGCUAGUCUGGGUGUCGCAGGAUCACCUGGCCCCC